Molecule: ribosomal RNA, 464 nt
Filed under: Vreelandella stevensii
Lineage: Bacteria; Pseudomonadati; Pseudomonadota; Gammaproteobacteria; Oceanospirillales; Halomonadaceae
Description: partial 16S ribosomal RNA
Rfam family: Bacterial small subunit ribosomal RNA
Source: RNAcentral
CCUACGGGGGGCUGCAGUGGGGAAUAUUGGACAAUGGGGGGAACCCUGAUCCAGCCAUGCCGCGUGUGUGAAGAAGGCCCUCGGGUUGUAAAGCACUUUCAGUGAGGAAGAACGCCUGGUGGUUAAUACCCAUCAGGAAAGACAUCACUCACAGAAGAAGCACCGGCUAACUCCGUGCCAGCAGCCGGGUAAUACGGAGGGUGCGAGCGUUAAUCGGAAUUACUGGGCGUAAAGCGCGCGUAGGUGGCUUGAUAAGCCGGUUGUGAAAGCCCCGGGCUCAACCUGGGAACGGCAUCCGGAACUGUCCAGCUAGAGUGCAGGAGAGGAAGGUAGAAUUCCCGGUGUAGCGGUGAAAUGCGUAGAGAUCGGGAGGAAUACCAGUGGCGAAGGCGGCCUUCUGGACUGACACUGACACUGAGGUGCGAAAGCGUGGGUAGCACACAGGAUAAGCUACCCUAGUAGUA